CCUACGGGAGGCAGCAGUAAGGAAUCUUGCGCAAUGGGCGAAAGCCUGACGCAGCGACGCCGCGUGGGCGAUGAAGGCCUUCGGGUUGUAAAGCCCUUUUCUGGGGGACGAGGAAGGACGGUACCCCAGGAAUAAGUCACGGCUAACUACGUGCCAGCAGCCGCGGUAAAACGUAGGUGGCUAGCGUUAUCCGGAUUCACUGGGCGUAAAGAGCGCGUAGGCGGUGUGCUAAGUUGGACGUGAAAGCCCCCGGCUUAACCGGGGGAGGUCGUCCAAUACUGGUGCACUUGAGGGUGGACGGGGAAAGCGGAAUUCCCGGUGUAGUGGUAAAAUGCGUAGAUAUCGGGAGGAAGGCCGGUGGCGAAGGCGGCCCUCUG
RNAcentral lists this ribosomal RNA (377 nucleotides) under uncultured bacterium. RNAcentral describes it as "partial 16S ribosomal RNA". It matches the Rfam family "Bacterial small subunit ribosomal RNA", at positions 338 to 731 of the family's 1533-position model. The record is from RNAcentral.